RNAcentral lists this transfer RNA (71 nucleotides) under Schistocephalus solidus. It matches the Rfam family "tRNA". From Rfam's summary of the family: Transfer RNA (tRNA) molecules are approximately 80 nucleotides in length. The record is from Rfam by way of RNAcentral. Lineage: Eukaryota; Metazoa; Platyhelminthes; Cestoda; Diphyllobothriidea; Diphyllobothriidae.
GAGCCGGUGUUUUAGUGGCAGAAUGCUCGCCUGCCAGGCGGGUUGCCCCGGUUCAAUUCCCGGUCUUCUCA